UAUGCAACAACACAUAUUGUUCCAGCCAUCAAGUCUUUUCUUCCCUCACCAAAACGUGUAGAAGAAGUUGAGAAAGGGAGAGAGAGUUUCCUCCAACUCCAAAUUGUAACUUGAAGAGGUCAAGGGCGAGAUUGAUAAUCUGUUGAGGAGCUUUUGUAUCACAGAAAAUUACUAUCAGGUUGAGCAGCUGCCGAUGGUGAUGAAGUGACGAGCGGGACUCUUUUGUUUUAUUAUGUAUUAAUGAACUCUAGGGUUACAUGUCUUCAUACAUGUAAUCAGAACCUUAUUCCGCUGCGUACUCAGAAGUUUUAUGUUAUUUUGGAUAAGUCGGAGUUAUCCGAAUUUACUAGUUAUUUGAGUCUAUACGACUAAAACUCCGUUAUAUUAUAAAUAUCCAUGGUGUUAACAUUGAUGAAA
Salvia miltiorrhiza (redroot sage) is the source of this 417-nucleotide long non-coding RNA. RefSeq lists it as uncharacterized. The record is from RefSeq and is a predicted model, not a curated record. The transcript is spliced from 3 exons. NCBI's taxonomy places the organism in Eukaryota, Viridiplantae, Streptophyta, Magnoliopsida, Lamiales, Lamiaceae.